AUACAUAGGGGGCAAGCGUUAUCCGGAAUUAUUGGGCGUAAAGGGUGCGUAGGCGGUCUAUUAAGUCUGAGGUGUAAGUGCAGGGCUCAACCCUGUGAUGCUUUAGAAACUGGUAGACUUGAGUGAGAUAGAGGCAAGUGGAAUUCCAUGUGUAGCGGUAAAAUGCGUAAAUAUAUGGAGGAACACCAGUGGCGAAGGCGGCUUGCUGGGUCUAUACUGACGCUGAGGCACGAAAGCGUGGGGAGCAAACAGGAUUAGAUACCCUGGUAGUCCACGCCGUAAACGAUGAGUACUAAGUGUUGGGGGAACCCAGUGCUGUAGUUAACAUAUUAAGUACUCCGCCUGAGUAGUACGUACGCAAGUAUGAAACUCAAAUGAAUUGGCGGGG
This 388-nucleotide ribosomal RNA is filed under the name uncultured bacterium. RNAcentral describes it as "partial 16S ribosomal RNA". It matches the Rfam family "Bacterial small subunit ribosomal RNA", at positions 523 to 918 of the family's 1533-position model. The record is from RNAcentral.